Non-coding RNA from Paramuricea clavata, 813 nucleotides. NCBI's taxonomy places the organism in Eukaryota, Metazoa, Cnidaria, Anthozoa, Malacalcyonacea, Plexauridae. The record is from the annotation of a GenBank genome assembly.
CGCGAUAGUUUACAUGCAUAUAUAUACGAAGAACCUAACCCCGGGAAAAACCCUAGGGAGCCACCUUAAGCAAAUAAUACAUCAAUAUUUAAAACAAUUAAACUAACCUUAGGUUCUACGAUUUCCAGGAUUGUCCCUGAUUUUUUUGUUAUUUUGUAAAAACAAUAAACGGUUUGGCUGUUUAAUUGGCUGUUUAAUUUUCGGGUUUCUGAAUGUUUUUAACUUUUGUCUCGCAAAUCGUACUCUUUGCCUCCUGAGAUUCGCCAUAUCUUUGAGAUCAGUAAGAGGUCCACGGACGCAUGACCAUAGAGAUUAUAAAUAACACUAGAGGAGGCAUCGAGGUUAAAAAUUGGGAACGCAGCUAAUAGGGACAAAUUCAAGUCCCAGAUAUAAAAUCUUGCUCUCAUUGGCUGAUUUGAAACUCGUCACCAAUCGAAACAUGAAUAAACAUCCGGGACUUGAAUUUGCCCCCUCCCCCUCAAUAGACGCGUUCCCUUUUUUUUUAACUGAAUUAAGAUUACAAUGCCUCCUCUAGUGUUAGUUAUAAUCUCUAUGCGCAUGACACCAUGCAUGAAACAAAGCUACGUACCCGCGAUUAUUGACAAACUGUAGAUUGCGUCGCUAUUACUUUCCUAUCUUUAUAUUACGUUACUCAAACAUUUUACAUUCCAAUUAUAAACUUUAGUUUGGGUAAGUCAAGGUCGUUAUUUUCAAGAUCUACUAGCUCAAGUCAAAACAUAGAAGUUUUUGUGCAGUGUCUACUCGAGGUAAACCCCUACUGUGGGUGAUUACUUUGAGUAAUACUUAUAUCAU